UACGAAGGGUGCAAGCGUUAAUCGGAAUUACUGGGCGUAAAGCGCGCGUAGGUGGCUUGAUAAGUUGGAUGUGAAAUCCCCGGGCUCAACCUGGGAACUGCAUCCAAAACUGUCUGGCUAGAGUGCGGUAGAGGGUAGUGGAAUUUCCAGUGUAGCGGUGAAAUGCGUAGAUAUUGGAAGGAACACCAGUGGCGAAGGCGACUACCUGGACUGACACUGACACUGAGGUGCGAAAGCGUGGGGAGCAAACAGG
RNAcentral lists this non-coding RNA (253 nucleotides) under uncultured bacterium. RNAcentral describes it as "partial 16S ribosomal RNA". It matches the Rfam family "Bacterial small subunit ribosomal RNA", at positions 524 to 776 of the family's 1533-position model. The record is from RNAcentral. RNAcentral also lists the same sequence under 3 other names.